AAUGAGGUGGGGAGGUUGGAAACAAAAGGCCUUCUCCACCCCAGCUUGACCAACCCAAAAGCUGGAAGGCAAGGAAGACCUAGAUCGACAGAAAAGAAAUGAGUCAACGAUGGUGCAGAAAGGGACCAGCUUGACGAAGCUUCUGCUUUUGUGACUGUCUCCUAAUGAAACCAGAGCACCUCAGAAGAUCAAGGCUUCCAAAUUCUCCUGGGGGAACAGACGUCAGCCAUUCAGCACAAAGGAAACUUCCUUCUCUGUAUGUCAGAGGAAGACAUAAUUGUGCCAUUUCCUUCUUGAAGAAGUUUACAAACAUUUGCAAGUUGUCAAAAAUAAUUAGUCUAAAAUUGUUUCAUAAACCGUGGAAUGAAACAGGACGUGCCUUGUUGAGAUCAAAGGGCUUCUGUUACCUUCUUGUAAACUCAAAUGAAAUUCUUUUGAAAGUAAA
Long non-coding RNA from Homo sapiens (human), 445 nucleotides. Ensembl annotates it as MIR646 host gene. Its record names the gene MIR646HG. The record is from Ensembl. NCBI's taxonomy places the organism in Eukaryota, Metazoa, Chordata, Mammalia, Primates, Hominidae.